Molecule: unclassified non-coding RNA, 1120 nt
Filed under: Hevea brasiliensis (rubber tree)
Lineage: Eukaryota; Viridiplantae; Streptophyta; Magnoliopsida; Malpighiales; Euphorbiaceae
Source: RNAcentral
GGCAAAUACAAGCAGAGCUGGGCUCCUGGAGCGUUGUAUUGAUGAUGCAGCGUGAAGCUUAAAUAAACACACACUCAUACACAGAGUGAAAAAUGCUAGAAUAUUCUCUGCAGGAUUUUAACUGAAAUCUGAAACUGAAAAUACAUAGGAUAUAUGGGCUGUUUAUUGAGUUUGAUCUCCUAAACCUUAUAGGUAGGAAGUUUAGUUAAUCCAAAAUGGGAAUUCUAAUAGAAUAGGAAGACAUAGUCUAAAUCCUAAUUAAAAUAGGAAAAAAUAAAACAAAUCCUAACUAGAAUAGAAAAUACAUUAAUAGAAUAGGAAAUUAAAAUGGAGUAGGAAGACAUUAAAACUAAAUCUGCAGCUUGUCUCACCCCAAAACAGGAAAGUACGUGGCCUGAGUUGGAGAUGCGCCCUAGGUUGUGUUUUCUGGCCAUGGGGCAUACUUCAUUCUGCUCUCCUUGUCACUGCCCAGUAAGGAACAAGCCCUGAGUGUGUUUCUUGGCUCUAGAGCAUGCCAUGGGUAUGUUCUGUUCUGUCCCCAUGAACAUGCUCCGCAUCAAUCUUCCUCCAAUUUUUGUUUUAAUAAUGCUGAUCAUUUUUAUUAUGUUUACAUUGAGUUGGUUUAGCAUAAUAAUGUUUCUUGUUGUGUAACAGAAUGUGGUAUGGUUUCUGUUUGUUUGAAAGAAUCUAUUCUAUUUUUUUAAACCUCAUAAUGUGGAUAUUAAAUAUUUUACUAGAUCUACAAAGUAGAUAAUGCAUGCGCUUUCUCUUAAGCAGAUGUGUAGUUUGUUACUUGGAUUGUUUCUCAGCAAUUUGAGCCUUGCUAAAAUCACAGUGCUCUUUUUUACAGGCUUGGCUUACUACCAUUUCUUUGUCCAUCUGUAAGGUUAGUCUUACAUUCCUUAAAAUUUGUCACAUACAAGAUUUCAAAACCUAUUAAUGUUAUAUCCAUCUUGACACCACUUUUUGGCCAUAUGAGUACUACAGGCAUUCGACCUACUCGAAAUGUUAAAGAAAGAAGAAGAAAUGCUUUCUGCUGUAAAGGAAAGGCAACUUAAGGUAUUCUGUACUUAAUGGCUUGUGGGAUCCAUAUAUCUAUCUGUGUCCUGUGGGUUUUCAG